GACGAACGCUGGCUGCGUGCUUAACACAUGCAAGUCGAACGCUGAAGCCUGGUGCUUGCACCGGGUGGAUGAGUGGCGAACGGGUGAGUAACACGUGAGUAACCUGCCCCUGACUUCGGGAUAAGCCCGGGAAACUGGGUCUAAUACCGGAUACGACUGCCGGACGCAUGUCUGGUGGUGGAAAGUUUUUUCGGUUGGGGAUGGGCUCGCGGCCUAUCAGUUUGUUGGUGAGGUAAUGGCUCACCAAGACGACGACGGGUAGCCGGCCUGAGAGGGCGACCGGCCACACUGGGACUGAGACACGGCCCAGACUCCUACGGGAGGCAGCAGUGGGGAAUAUUGCACAAUGGGGGAAACCCUGAUGCAGCGACGCAGCGUGCGGGAUGACGGCCUUCGGGUUGUAAACCGCUUUCAGCAGGGAAGAAGCGCAAGUGACGGUACCUGC
This 445-nucleotide ribosomal RNA is filed under the name Brevibacterium casei. RNAcentral's name for it is "bacterial SSU rRNA". It matches the Rfam family "Bacterial small subunit ribosomal RNA", at positions 28 to 482 of the family's 1533-position model. The record is from RNAcentral. Lineage: Bacteria; Bacillati; Actinomycetota; Actinomycetes; Micrococcales; Brevibacteriaceae.